UCCGGUUUGGCACCGGCAGUCUCCCAUGAGUCCCCGGCAUGACCCGCUGGCAACAUGGGACAGGGGUUGCGCUCGUUGCGCCACUUAAGGCAACACCUCACGGCACGAGCUGACGACAGCCAUGCAGCACCUGUGCAGGAUCUCCGAAGAGGGGCUCUCGUUUCUGAGAGCUUGCUCCUGCAUGUCAAACCUAGGUAAGGUUCUUCGCGUUGCUUCGAAUUGAACCACAUGCUCCGCUGCUUGUGCGGGUCCCCGUCAAUUCCUUUGAGUUUUAGCCUUGCGGCCGUACUCCCCAGGCGGGGCACUUAAUGCGUUAGCUUCGGCACCGGAGGAGUCGACACCUCCGACACCUAGUGCCCAUCGUUUACGGCUAGGACUAC
Molecule: unclassified non-coding RNA, 380 nt
Filed under: uncultured Actinomycetes bacterium
Lineage: Bacteria; Bacillati; Actinomycetota; Actinomycetes
Description: uncultured actinobacterium contains 16S-23S intergenic spacer region
Source: RNAcentral